AGAACGAACGCUGGCGGCAUGCCUAAUACAUGCAAGUCGAACGAACUCUUCGGAGUUAGUGGCGCACGGGUGCGUAACGCGUGGGAAUCUGCCCCUUGGUUCGGAAUAACAGUUGGAAACGACUGCUAAUACCGGAUGAUGACGAAAGUCCAAAGAUUUAUCGCCAAGGGAUGAGCCCGCGUAGGAUUAGCUAGUUGGUGAGGUAAAGGCUCACCAAGGCAACGAUCCUUAGCUGGUCUGAGAGGAUGAUCAGCCACACUGGGACUGAGACACGGCCCAGACUCCUACGGGAGGCAGCAGUAGGGAAUAGUUGGACAAU
Molecule: ribosomal RNA, 319 nt
Filed under: uncultured soil bacterium
Lineage: Bacteria
Description: bacterial SSU rRNA
Rfam family: Bacterial small subunit ribosomal RNA
Source: RNAcentral